This 103-nucleotide small nuclear RNA is filed under the name Erinaceus europaeus (western European hedgehog). Lineage: Eukaryota; Metazoa; Chordata; Mammalia; Eulipotyphla; Erinaceidae. The record is from RNAcentral.
AACAGUGUUUACUUUGCUCAUAUUUAUAAUUGUUAUAGAGAGAAACUUAGCAGCGCUCCUGUGCAAGGAUGACACGUAAAUGUGUGAAGUGGUCUAUGGUCUA